RNAcentral lists this long non-coding RNA (1068 nucleotides) under Hordeum vulgare. RNAcentral's name for it is "long non-coding RNA (HVUL_LNC014765)". Lineage: Eukaryota; Viridiplantae; Streptophyta; Magnoliopsida; Poales; Poaceae. The record is from RNAcentral.
AAAAAUAUAUAAGCACCACUUGUCCACUCUCGCAAGCAGACCAUAUGAGCAGUUUGAUGUGCUCUCCGAACUGCUACUUGUAUCUCCUUUUGCUUCUCUUGUUUUUUGCACUUCGUGCACCUAGCUUUGACCCUCUCUUUCGCCACAUCUAGACUUCUACCCAUCCAUCGCCUCGCGGAGGCGGAUCGUGCAGUCUGUCGGCUGAAGCUUGAAGGUAAGCGUUUCCCAUAUAUGAAAGCAGCACAUUUAUUUGGUUUACAUAACUACGAACAGAUCAGUUGAUCGCCACCACAUACUUCAGAGCAUACAUGGACUAGCCGGCUCCUCCUCUGUGGGUAGUCUGUGAUUCCCAAUCAAGCCGAAAUAAAACUGUCAUGUUUUUCAAAGGUAGGGUCUUCUAAGAGGUUGUCCCAGGAAAAAAUCAUCUGUAGCCUUAAUUUGCUAGUAAUAAUGUCUAGGUUGUGUUCUAUCAUCUCAAUAGAAAACAACCUAAAUAAAUGCCAUCUAGUGAAGUAAUAUGCACAAGAGAAGAACUUGUAUGAUGUAAUUUUUCAUAGUCAGCAAAAUAACCAUAGUUGUGUUUAGCAGAUGCUCUCGCCUUGGCUAGAUCAUUAACUCUCACAUCAUUUCUAUCUUUGAGCCUAUCACACCUACUUGGGACCCCCAUCUCCAUCAGCAUUGACAUCUACUCCCUCCAUUUUUAAACAUAAUUUCUUUUUUAAGAUUUCACCACGAACUACAUACAGAUGUAUAAAAACAUAAUUUAGAGUGUAGAUUCACUCAUUUUGUUUCGUAUCGUUGAUAUUCUUCCCGUGAUUCUUCCCAUUGAUGAACACAUGUUCUACUCUGGACACACGUACAUAUAGGCACCAGAUUCCAGAAUUAAUUCUGACACUUGACAGAGUAUUAUUCCAAGCUCCAUAUAAACACACACACAGUGUGUGUGAAGGAGUACAUUUAUUUGUUUUGCAUAACGGUCAUAUCAUUCAAACCAGAUCACCACAGACUUCAAGAGUAUACGAUCGACUAGCUGGCUAGCCGACGACGGGGAUGACAACGACACGCUGG